RNAcentral lists this ribosomal RNA (254 nucleotides) under uncultured bacterium. Its description in RNAcentral is "partial 16S ribosomal RNA". It matches the Rfam family "Bacterial small subunit ribosomal RNA", at positions 524 to 776 of the family's 1533-position model. The record is from RNAcentral.
UACGUAGGUGGCAAGCGUUGUCCGGAUUUACUGGGCGUAAAGAGCGCGCAGGCGGUCGUCCAAGUCGCGUGUGAAAGCCCCCGGCUCAACUGGGGAGGGUCACGCGAUACUGAUCGACUCGAAGGCAGGAGAGGGUAGUGGAAUUCCCGGUGUAGUGGUGAAAUGCGUAGAUAUCGGGAGGAACACCAGUGGCGAAGGCGACUACCUGGCCUGUUUCUUGACGCUGAGGCGCGAAAGCUAGGGGAGCAAACGGG